GCCAGGUGUGGUGGUGCACACCUGGAAUCCUAGCAACUGGGGAGGCCGAGGCAGGAGGACCACAAGUUUCAGGUCAGCCUGGGCAACUUAGCAAAGACCCUGCCUCAA
RNAcentral lists this small RNA (108 nucleotides) under Marmota monax (woodchuck). The record is from RNAcentral. Lineage: Eukaryota; Metazoa; Chordata; Mammalia; Rodentia; Sciuridae.